This 465-nucleotide ribosomal RNA is filed under the name Vreelandella stevensii. RNAcentral describes it as "partial 16S ribosomal RNA". It matches the Rfam family "Bacterial small subunit ribosomal RNA", at positions 338 to 795 of the family's 1533-position model. Lineage: Bacteria; Pseudomonadati; Pseudomonadota; Gammaproteobacteria; Oceanospirillales; Halomonadaceae. The record is from RNAcentral.
CCUACGGGAGGCAGCAGUGGGGAAUAUUGGACAAUGGGCGAAAGCCUGAUCCAGCCAUGCCGCGUGUGUGAAGAAGGCCUUCGGGUUGUAAAGCACUUUCAGUGGGGAAGAAAGCCUUGGGGCUAAUACCCUCGAGGAAGGACAUCACCCACAGAAGAAGCACCGGCUAACUCCGUGCCAGCAGCCGCGGUAAUGCGGAGGGUGCGAGCGUUAAUCGGAAUUACUGGGCGUAAAGCGCGCGUAGGCGGUCUGAUAAGCCGGUUGUGAAAGCCCCGGGCUCAACCUGGGAACGGCAUCCGGAACUGUCAGGCUAGAGUGCAGGAGAGGAAGGUAGAAUUCCCGGUGUAGCGGUGAAAUGCGUAGAGAUCGGGAGGAAUACCAGUGGCGAAGGCGGCCUUCUGGACUGACACUGACGCUGAGGUGCGAAAGCGUGGGUAGCAAACAGGAUUAGAUAUCCUGGUAGUC